UGGGGAAUAUUGCACAAUGGAGGGAACUCUGAUGCAGCGACGCCGCGUGAACGAAGAAGGCUUUCGAGUCGUAAAGUUCUUUUAUAUGGGAAGAUAAUGACGGUACCAUAAGAAGAAGCCCCGGCUAACUACGUGCCAGCAGCCGCGGUAAUACGUAGGGGGCUAGCGUUGUCCGGAAUCACUGGGCGUAAAGGGUUCGCAGGCGGAAAUGCAAGUCAGGUGUAAAAGGCAGUAGCUUAACUACUGUAAGCAUUUGAAACUGCAUAUCUUGAGAAGAGUAGAGGUAAGUGGAACUUUUAGUGUAGCGGUGAAAUGCGUAGAUAUUAAAAAGAAUACCGGUGGCGAAGGCGACUUACUGGGCUCAUUCUGACGCUGAGGAACGAAAGCGUGGGUAGCAAACAGG
RNAcentral lists this ribosomal RNA (403 nucleotides) under bacterium. RNAcentral describes it as "partial 16S ribosomal RNA". It matches the Rfam family "Bacterial small subunit ribosomal RNA", at positions 355 to 776 of the family's 1533-position model. The record is from RNAcentral.